AGUCACUGACAUUAGAUACCCGGGUAGUCCAGGGUGUAAACGCUGCCGACUUGGUGUUGGAGGCCCUUCGGGGGCAUUCAGUGCCGGAGAGAAGUUGUUAAGUCGGCCACUUGGGGAGUACGUCCGCAAGGAUGAAACUUAAAGGAAUUGGCGGGGGAGCACCGCAACGGGAGGAGCGUGCGGUUUAAUUUGGAUUCAACACCGUAAAACUCACCAGGGAAGACUGUUACAUGAAGGCCGAGAUGAAGACUCUGCUAGAUUUUCAG
Molecule: ribosomal RNA, 266 nt
Filed under: uncultured archaeon
Lineage: Archaea
Description: partial 16S ribosomal RNA
Rfam family: Archaeal small subunit ribosomal RNA
Source: RNAcentral